AAUCGCUAGUAAUCGCGGAUCAGCACGCCGCGGUGAAUACGUUCCCGGGCCUUGUACACACCGCCCGUCACACCAUGAGAGUCUGUAACACCCAAAGCCGGUGGGAUAACCUUUAUAGGAGUCAGCCGUCUAAGGUAGGACAGAUGAUUAGGGUGAAGUCGUAACAAGGUAGC
This 173-nucleotide ribosomal RNA is filed under the name uncultured bacterium. RNAcentral describes it as "partial 16S ribosomal RNA". It matches the Rfam family "Bacterial small subunit ribosomal RNA", at positions 1330 to 1500 of the family's 1533-position model. The record is from RNAcentral.